RNAcentral lists this ribosomal RNA (433 nucleotides) under uncultured bacterium. Its description in RNAcentral is "partial 16S ribosomal RNA". It matches the Rfam family "Bacterial small subunit ribosomal RNA", at positions 29 to 507 of the family's 1533-position model. The record is from RNAcentral.
AACGAACGCUGGCGGCAGGCCUAACACAUGCAAGUCGAGCGGCCCUUUCGGGGUCAGCGGCGGACGGGUGAGUAACGCGUGGGAAUAUGCCCUUCUCUACGGAAUACUCCUGGGAAACUGGGGGUAAUACCGUAUACGCCCUUUGGGGGCAAGAUUCAUCGGGGAAGGAUUAGCCCGCGUUGGAUUAGGUAGUUGGUGGGGUAAUGGCCUACCAAGCCGACGAUCCAUAGCUGGGUAGAGAGGAUGAUCAGCCACACUGGGAGUGAGACACGGCCCAGACUCCUACGGGAGGCAGCAGUGGGGAAUCUUAGACAAUGGGGGCAACCCUGAUCGAGCCAUGCCGCGUGAGUGAUGAAGGCCUUAGAGUUGUAAAGCUCGUUCAGCUGGGAAGAUAAUGACGGUACCAGCAGAAGAAGCCCCGGCUAACUCCGUG